CAGCCGCCGCGGUAAUACAGAGGGUGCAAGCGUUAAUCGGAAUUACUGGGCGUAAAGCGCGCGUAGGUGGUUUGUUAAGUUGGAUGUGAAAUCCCCGGGCUCAACCUGGGAACUGCAUUCAAAACUGACUGACUAGAGUAUGGUAGAGGGUGGUGGAAUUUCCUGUGUAGCGGUGAAAUGCGUAGAUAUAGGAAGGAACACCAGUGGCGAAGGCGACCACCUGGGCUAAUACUGACACUGAGGAGCGAAAGCGUGGGGAGCAAACAGGAUUAGAUACCCGUGUAGUCCCUGUCUCUUAUAC
This 301-nucleotide ribosomal RNA is filed under the name uncultured bacterium. Its description in RNAcentral is "partial 16S ribosomal RNA". It matches the Rfam family "Bacterial small subunit ribosomal RNA", at positions 509 to 807 of the family's 1533-position model. The record is from RNAcentral.